RNAcentral lists this transfer RNA (69 nucleotides) under Stephanolepis cirrhifer (thread-sail filefish). Its description in RNAcentral is "tRNA-Met". It matches the Rfam family "tRNA". Rfam says of the family: Transfer RNA (tRNA) molecules are approximately 80 nucleotides in length. Their secondary structure includes four short double-helical elements and three loops (D, anti-codon, and T loops). Further hydrogen bonds mediate the characteristic L-shaped molecular structure. tRNAs have two regions of fundamental functional importance: the anti-codon, which is responsible for specific mRNA codon recognition, and the 3' end, to which the tRNAs corresponding amino acid is attached (by aminoacyl-tRNA synthetases). tRNAs cope with the degeneracy of the genetic code in two manners: having more than one tRNA (with a specific anti-codon) for a particular amino acid; and 'wobble' base-pairing, i.e. permitting non-standard base-pairing at the 3rd anti-codon position. Lineage: Eukaryota; Metazoa; Chordata; Actinopteri; Tetraodontiformes; Monacanthidae. RNAcentral also lists the same sequence under 2 other names. The record is from RNAcentral.
AGUAAAGUCAGCUAAAAAAGCUUCCGGGCCCAUACCCCGGAAAUGUUGGUUAAAAUCCUUCCUUUACUA